UAAUACGUAGGGGGCGAGCGUUGUCCGGAAUCAUUGGGCGUAAAGCGCGCGCAGGCGGUCCCUUAAGUCUGAUGUGAAAUCUUGCGGCUCAACCGCAAGGGGUCAUUGGAAACUGGGGGACUUGAGUGCAGGAGAGGGAAGCGGAAUUCCAUGUGUAGCGGUGAAAUGCGUAGAGAUAUGGAGGAACACCAGUGGCGAAGGCGGCUUCCUGGCCUGUAACUGACGCUCAGGCGCGAAAGCGUGGGGAGCAAACAGG
RNAcentral lists this ribosomal RNA (256 nucleotides) under uncultured archaeon. RNAcentral describes it as "partial 16S ribosomal RNA". It matches the Rfam family "Bacterial small subunit ribosomal RNA", at positions 521 to 776 of the family's 1533-position model. The record is from RNAcentral.